GAUUGUUCAUCUUCUUGUUCUGGACGCUGCUACAAGGUAGCCGAAGGUGCGAGUCCACUUUGUAAAAGAAAUGGGACGUGUUCAGACGGGUGUAACUAUGGAUUUUGUUUACCAAACAAAGCCUGCAGCACACGUUGCAGUAAUUGUGUCGAUGAUGAUUGUGACUCUGAUACUUGUAAGUGUCGCAAAGGUCGUAAACCUGAUUUUGAAUCUUGUGGUGAAACGCCCAAAGUUCCAUCAACUAACUUUGAGAAUUGUAGAAAACAAACAUGCAGGGGAGGUGUGUGCAUAGACUGUAAAGAUGGGUACUUCGGAGAGUACUGUCUGAAGAAAUGUACCAACUGUGAUAUAUGCUAUCAACUUGACGGUGAAUGUAUACCACAAUACAAAUACGGCUUUAAUGUGUGUGUCGGAUGCACAAUAGCUACAGCUGUUGGUUGCUGUGUGCUUGGAAGUCUAUUCCUUUACUACUUUUGCAAAUACCGGCACCGGCAUGACCCCCCGGGAUCGAUAAAUUGAACAUUACCUCGUCGCUUGGCAGAUUCCAUAUAUAGGUUCUUGGCCAACUUACUGCCGACCACAGAGGAUUGACCGUUUAAAUGGAAAUGCAAACUCAAAAGGGGAGAGGCACACCACAGCAAAAUUUAGCUUCAGAUCUCCCAGUUGUUUGCCAAAGACACGCACAGAAAAUACUUUAAGAACUAUUCGGAAUAUUCUAGCAUUGUUGGAUAAAUUCUCGGAUAAUGGAAUAGAAUGGAAUUCUGAGUAGGCGAGUGACACUGAAACUAUGGUAGCAGCAUCUCUACUAGAUGCCUUAUACAAACAACGCACAUUUCAAUCGUGUUUCGCAAGUAUAGUUUAUUGACAUGUACGAUACUGACAUUUAAAGAGUGAGCGAUACUGACAUUCAAAGAUUAAGUGAGUGCGUGAGUGAGUGAGUGAGAGUGAGUGAGAAAUAUUACACCCAUACUGAUGGUAUGUUAACCCACUUGCACAGAAAUAUGUUUAAAACCAGUUUUAAUAUAUCCCAGGAUGUCUCUGGGCGACAUGGCGAUGACCCUAUUUAGUCAAAUUUCCUUUUCCAACAUCAAUGUCUUUUUUCGAUUUUUAUUUUCUUGGAAUCCAAAACAUCAGCAUUUUCUUAAUUGUCGACAACUAGAUAAAUGAUCAAAAUCGGCGUUCAGGAUACCUGAUAUGAUGUCACGUAAUAUUUGGUUAAUUCGACCAGCUAAAACUUUCCAUGAUAAGAGACUUGUUUCCAAGACACAUUAUUGUGAUUGUUGACGUGACACAGUAUUACACAAAUAACUUUAAUCUUAUGAAUGGAUUCCGAUAUUAAUUCAUGUAUUAAUUAAUUGCUGUUAUAACAAAUAUGGAAAGCGUAUUAGUAACGCAAUAUAAUGCAAUAGAAUCUACAUAGAUGAUGCUUAAUCUACGUGGACGAUAUCACUUUCCUCAACGUAGAUAGUACUUACAUUUAAAUAGAUUAUUAUCUGUCUCACGGUCCCUAAACCAUAUUAUCUGACUGAAGUGACUUUCGUGUUGUAUUAUAAAUUUCAAGCAAUAGCCAUUCAGAGUUAUAUUUCUUUGAAAAUAGUCCUAGACUAUUUUUAUCUACGUGUCGUUUGUGCUUAGAUAAGGCCCAGUCGUGAACAUGGCCACGAGAAGGGUACGAGUCGCCAUCCGGCUUGCCAGAUUGACACGACUGGUUAUGAAUGAGGAACUUUAUCGCCCGAAGGGAUAUAACUCUUGUUGGCUCAAGACUAUGUUUUAAGAGACUUUAAAUUUCAAAUAAUACCGCCGUUUAAAAAAUAUCUUUAGUACCAAUCUAUUUGCACUUAAUGGAUUGAAAAUAGCAUAUUCUCAAAACAGGUUUGAUGAAAAGACCAUUUGAUGAUAAUAAUAGGUGAACACUCCAAGUGAAUUGGAUUCACAUUUUGCCCUUUGUGCUUUUGAUCUGGUGCGGAUGCUGGUUUUUGCACCUGCCUCCAACAGACUGCGGUGGCUAAUACACAGUGAUUAGU
Haliotis rubra (blacklip abalone) is the source of this 2024-nucleotide long non-coding RNA. RefSeq lists it as uncharacterized. Lineage: Eukaryota; Metazoa; Mollusca; Gastropoda; Lepetellida; Haliotidae. The record is from RefSeq and is a predicted model, not a curated record. The transcript is spliced from 2 exons.